CCUACGGGUGGCAGCAGUGAGGAAUAUUGGUCAAUGGGCGCGAGCCUGAACCAGCCAAGUCGCGUGAGGGAAGACGGCCCUACGGGUUGUAAACCUCUUUUGCCGGGGAGCAACGGGCGCCACGUGUGGCGCCACUGAGAGUACCCGGAGUAAAAGCAUCGGCUAACUCCGUGCCAGCAGCCGCGGUAAUACGGAGGAUGCGAGCGUUAUCCGGAUUUAUUGGGUUUAAAGGGUGCGGAGGCGGAGCGUUAAGUUAGUGGUAAAAUUGAGGGGCUCAACCCCUUCCCGCCAUUGAAACUGGCGCUCUUGAGUGGAAGAGAGGUAUGCGGAAUGCGUGGUGUAGCGGUGAAAUGCAUAGAUAUCACGCAGAACCCCGAUUGCGAAGGCGGCAUGCCGGCUGCCUACUGACGCUGAAGCACGAAAGCGUGGGGAUCGAACAGGAUUAGAUACCCGGGUAGUC
Molecule: ribosomal RNA, 460 nt
Filed under: uncultured bacterium
Lineage: Bacteria
Description: partial 16S ribosomal RNA
Rfam family: Bacterial small subunit ribosomal RNA
Source: RNAcentral